AGAGUUUGAUCAUGGCUCAGGAUGAACGCUAGCGGCAGGCCUAAUACAUGCAAGUCGGACGGGAUUGGAGAGCUUGCUUUCCAUGAGAGUGGCGCACGGGUGCGUAACACGUAUGUAACCUACCCAUAUCAGGGGGGAUAGCCUCUCGAAAGAGAGAUUAAGCCCGCAUAACAUUAUGAUAUAGCAUUAUAUUAUAAUCAAAUAUUUAUAGGAUAUGGAUGGGCAUGCGGAACAUUAGCUAGUUGGCGGGGUAACGGCCCACCAAGGCGACGAUGUUCAGGGGAUCUGAGAGGAUGACCCCCCACACUGGUACUGAGACACGGACCAGACUCCUACGGGAGGCAGCAGUAAGGAAUAUUGGUCAAUGGGCGGAAGCCUGAACCAGCCAUGCCGCGUGCAGGAAGACGGCCCUACGGGUUGUAAACUGCUUUUGCAGGGGAAUAAACCCCCGUAUGUAUACGGGGUUGAAUGUACUCUGAGAAUAAGGAUCGGCUAACUCCGUGCCAGCAGCCGCGGUAAUACGGAGGAUCCGAGCGUUAUCCGGAUUUAUUGGGUUUAAAGGGUGCGUAGGCGGCCUAUUAAGUCAGGGGUGAAAGACGGUAGCUUAACUAUCGCAGUGCCUUUGAUACUGAUGGGCUUGAAUGUAGUUGAGGUAGGCGGAAUGUGACAAGUAGCGGUGAAAUGCAUAGAUAUGUCACAGAACACCAAUUGCGAAGGCAGCUUACUAAAGUAUGAUUGACGCUGAGGCACGAAAGCGUGGGGAUCAAACAGGAUUAGAUACCCUAGUAGUCC
RNAcentral lists this ribosomal RNA (792 nucleotides) under uncultured bacterium. RNAcentral's name for it is "bacterial SSU rRNA". It matches the Rfam family "Bacterial small subunit ribosomal RNA", at positions 8 to 796 of the family's 1533-position model. The record is from RNAcentral.